ACGGGAUACGAGAUUUAAACUGUCUUUACUUUAUACAUAAAAAUUANUUUUUAGGUGAAGAAACCUAUAUAUUAAUAAAGGACAAAAAGACCCUAUUGAGCUUUAUUUAAAAAAAAUAUAUUAUAUAAUAUUUAUUAUCUAAUUUAUUAUAAAUUUGGUUGGGGCAACAGAGAAAUAUAAAUAUUUUUCUUUAGUUUUAAGAAUUAUUAUUCUUUUUAAUGAUCAAUUUAUAUGAGANNAAGAAAUAGUUACCAUAGGGAUAACAGGUUAAUUCUUUUGUAAAGUUCAUAUUGAUAAAAGAGUUUG
Molecule: ribosomal RNA, 306 nt
Filed under: Phyllodocinae sp. RG-2014
Lineage: Eukaryota; Metazoa; Annelida; Polychaeta; Phyllodocida; Phyllodocidae
Description: partial 16S ribosomal RNA
Source: RNAcentral